RNAcentral lists this ribosomal RNA (526 nucleotides) under uncultured bacterium. RNAcentral's name for it is "bacterial SSU rRNA". It matches the Rfam family "Bacterial small subunit ribosomal RNA", at positions 37 to 559 of the family's 1533-position model. The record is from RNAcentral.
UGGCGGCAUGCUUUACACAUGCAAGUCGAACGGUAACAGGCCGCAAGGUGCUGACGAGUGGCGAACGGGUGAGUAAUGUAUCGGAACGUGCCCAGUCGUGGGGGGAUAACGCAGCGAAAGCUGUGCUAAUACCGCAUACGAUCUAUGGAUGAAAGCGGGGGACCGUAAGGCCUCGCGCGAUUGGAGCGGCCGAUAUCAGAUUAGGUAGUUGGUGGGGUAAAGGCUCACCAAGCCAACGAUCUGUAGCUGGUCUGAGAGGACGACCAGCCACACUGGGACUGAGACACGGCCCAGACUCCUACGGGAGGCAGCAGUGGGGAAUUUUGGACAAUGGGGGCAACCCUGAUCCAGCCAUGCCGCGUGCAGGAUGAAGGCCUUCGGGUUGUAAACUGCUUUUGUACGGAACGAAAAGACUCUGGUUAAUACCUGGGGUCCAUGACGGUACCGUAAGAAUAAGCACCGGCUAACUACGUGCCAGCAGCCGCGGUAAUACGUAGGGUGCAAGCGUUAAUCGGAAUUACUGGGC